ACAGAAGCAUUGUCACUUGUCUUCAGGCAUCUUCUCUCCCAUGGCAGCCCAUAGGAAGAAGAAAAAAGAGAAGAAAAUGACACUGAUAAUCCACAAAGAGGACUAAUACAAAUGGUCUUGCUCUUUCACCCAGGCUGGAGUGCAGUGAUGCCGCCAUUACAGCUCACUGCAGCCUUGACCUCGUGGGCUCAAUCAACUCUCUUGCCUCAGCCGCCAGAGCAGCUGGGACUAUAGGCAUGUGCCACCAUGCCUGGCUAAUUUUUUCAACAUUUUGUAGAGAUGUUGCCCAGGCUGGUCUUGAACUAGCAGGCUCAAACAAUCCUCCCACCUCAGCCUCCCACAUUUUAUUAAUGAGUUUUCAGUUACUUUAAAAAAAUAAUAGAAUCUGUCAGGCAUAUUUGUUAAGUAUUUGUUCUGUGCUUGAUCCACAAGUAUUUACUGGGCACCUGAUGUGUACCAGGCGCUAUGCUGCUCACUGCAGAAGACACCAAAACGGCCAUGGUCAGCCCCCAGCUGGAGGGGCCUGGGGAGGGGAGCACUGCCUGUGGGGCAGCUUCUGCAUACCCUCCUGCACUAGGCCACUUACAAAAGUUAUUCUGGAAAUUUGGUGUUGUCGUUCACACUUUGCACUUGAGGAGUGCGUGCCUCAGAUAGGUCACAGAACCAUCUCAGCAUCACCUGGGCAUGUAUUAGGAAUGCAGAAUCUCAGGCCCCCCC
This 717-nucleotide long non-coding RNA is filed under the name Homo sapiens (human). RNAcentral describes it as "ARMC2 antisense RNA 1 (ARMC2-AS1)". Lineage: Eukaryota; Metazoa; Chordata; Mammalia; Primates; Hominidae. The record is from RNAcentral.